UCCGUAGGUGGAUAAUUAAGUCAGAGGUGAAAUCCUGCAGCUCAACUGUAGAAUUGCCUUUGAUACUGGUUAUCUUGAGUCAUUAUGAAGUGGUUAGAAUGUGUAGUGUAGCGGUGAAACGCAUAGAUAUUACACAGAAUACCGAUUGCGAAGGCAGAUCACUAAUAAUGUACUGACACUGAGGGACGAAAGCGUGGGGAGCGAACAGGAUUAGAUACCCUGGUAGUC
This 228-nucleotide ribosomal RNA is filed under the name uncultured bacterium. RNAcentral's name for it is "partial 16S ribosomal RNA". It matches the Rfam family "Bacterial small subunit ribosomal RNA", at positions 568 to 795 of the family's 1533-position model. The record is from RNAcentral.